This 23-nucleotide non-coding RNA is filed under the name Mus musculus (house mouse). Lineage: Eukaryota; Metazoa; Chordata; Mammalia; Rodentia; Muridae. The record is from RNAcentral.
AAAACAGACACAAAAAACAAAUA